RNAcentral lists this transfer RNA (26 nucleotides) under Arundinicola leucocephala. RNAcentral describes it as "partial tRNA-Trp". The record is from RNAcentral. Lineage: Eukaryota; Metazoa; Chordata; Aves; Passeriformes; Tyrannidae.
AGAAACUUAGGUUACCCAAACCGAAG